This is a non-coding RNA of Mus caroli (Ryukyu mouse), 312 nucleotides long. Lineage: Eukaryota; Metazoa; Chordata; Mammalia; Rodentia; Muridae. The record is from RefSeq and is a predicted model, not a curated record.
GUAUUCACCCUGUUCUUGCUGGUCAUACACAGAGAGCUGGAGAAGGCAAGAAUGAAGGCAGUGCUGGAAUGGAAUCCAGGACCUUGUGCAAGCUCGACAAAUGUGCUCGGCUGAGUCACAUCCCAUCCCCAUCCCACUGGGCAGCUUUGGUGGAAGGGUCUUGUAUUAAACUGGAGACUGGGGUGUAGAAGGACACGGUGGAAGACAACUAGCUCUUGACAGAAAGUGACCUGGGGGAGAAGGUAUGGCCCGGUGGCAGCCUUGGCACAUGCUGACUAGUGCAUGACUAUCCCUUCUGAUCUAUAGCCAAAG